UAGUGCCUAGAAUAGGCAAGAACUCCAGCCUGAAGGAUCUUCAUUUUAUUUAUUUAUUUAUUUAUUUAUUUAUUUAUUUAUUUAUUUAUUGUCUUACUCGGAGUGUAAGAUGCACUCACAUCAGGAACUCACAUAAACUAAAGUCCACUAGGCUGUCAGAGUCAUAAGGACCUAAAUGAAACAAAACAGAUUCGUUCUAAUACCCUGAGCUUGCCAAAAAAUGGCUGGGAGGAGCUAAUUUUGAAUACUAGGCGCUGACAUCUCUUAGAGUUUGUGCUUGAGGAGUUCCUAGAAUAAACCAAAAGGUUGGCUACCUAGAAAAAUGUAGCCACUCAGACAAAACCUGGUGAGUGGCAGUGGUUUAUAUGGUAUAAUCAGAUCAAAUUACUUAUUUAAACAAGUAAGUAUGAAUUAGCAUUUUCAGCUAAGAAUUCAGUAACAUACUUUAAGAUGGAGGUUGAUAAAUAAUAGCACAAACUGCAGCAUUUGAGGGAUAAGUCUAUAUUAUGGAAGUAGUCAUCAAUUUACUAUUCUUUAUAAAGGUUGUCUCCUUCCCCAUCUAACAAGCCAAUCUACAUUGACUACAGUCCUUCCAUCCUACUUUGUCACCCAGGUUUGAUCUGGACAUUGUGUUUCUCAAGGCUCAGUUAAUUGAGAGUUAAUUAGGAAUAUAAAAGUCUAAAUGCUAUCCUAAACACAUAGUUUACUAUCAUUUCUGGUUGUUUAGUCUAUCAUUUGGUCUCAGUUAAAUACUAGUGCAGUUCACCAGCAUCAUGUAAUGUCUGUCACAAUGAUUACCAUGAUAGUAAUAUUAUCAAUAACUGCUCUCUGUGUUCUUGCCAUCAUCACACUGCUCUCUGUGAAAUUCAAUUUGAUCUUCAUACCCUAUAUGACAUGUUCUUUCUAAAAUUUCCUUGAGAAUACCUUGGCUAGCUCAAGGUCACAGGAACAGUAGUAACUAUCAAUGCUGGAAUUUGAACUCAAAGCAUUGUAAUCUAUAUCUUUGGUUCUCUUACACUGCACACAGCUUUCACCAUUUUCCAGAAUCUCCUAAUGUACUCUUGUCUAUAUAAGAUAAGCAUUGCUUCUCAUCUUGUCCUAUUUUGUAUUAGAACUCCCAAAGUCAUGAAGUUUCCAAAAAUCAAAGUUUGUGAUUUUCAUAAGUCAACUGCCAUGCUUCAGAUAAAACAAUAACUAACUGUGUCUAAAAUUACCUGUUCCAUGAGCUGAGCAGUGGUGGCACAUGCCUUUAAUCCCAGCAUUUGGGAGACAGAGGCAGGCAGAUUUCUGAGUUCGAGGCCAGCCUGGUCUUCAGAGUGAGUUCUAGGACAGUCAGAGCUAUACAAAGAAACCCUGUCUCAAAAACAAAAAACAAAACAAACAAAAAAAAUAAAUAAAACAAACAAACUAAAAAAACAAAAAUUC
Molecule: long non-coding RNA, 1425 nt
Filed under: Mus musculus (house mouse)
Lineage: Eukaryota; Metazoa; Chordata; Mammalia; Rodentia; Muridae
Description: long non-coding RNA chr7:91544856-91546281
Source: RNAcentral